This 408-nucleotide ribosomal RNA is filed under the name uncultured bacterium. Its description in RNAcentral is "partial 16S ribosomal RNA". It matches the Rfam family "Bacterial small subunit ribosomal RNA", at positions 28 to 526 of the family's 1533-position model. The record is from RNAcentral.
GACGAACGCUGGCGGCGUGCCUAAUACAUGCAAGUAGAACGCAGUUGCGAACGGGUGAGUAACGCGUAGGUAACCUGCCUCAUAGCGGGGGAUAACUAUUUGAAAAGAUAGCUAAUACCGCAUACUGUGAGAUGGACCUGCGUUGUAUUAGCUAGUUGGUGAGGUAAAGGCUCACCAAGGCGACGAGACAUAGCCGACCUGAGAGGGUGAUCGGGCACACUGGUACGGAGACACGGCCCAGACUCCUACGGGAGGCAGCAGUGGGGAAUAUUGCACAAUGGGCGCAAGCCUGAUGCAGCCAUGCCGCGUGUAUGAAGAAGGCCUUCGGGUUGUAAAGUACUUUCAGCGGGGAGGCGUUACCCGCAGAAGAAGCACCGGCUAACUCCGGGCCAGCAGCCGCGGUAAUUC